AGCGGACAUUUUGUUUGUUUCUGUCAGGCUGCACCUGGCUGGGGCUCUGUAACGCUUGGGUGGGCCGCAGGUGGAGGUGUCGGGAAAGCGCGGAGGAGAUAUUGUCCCCAGUGCCCCGAGACGCGUCCUACGCUCUGCGGGGACGGAAGUGCCUGCGUCUCCGAUCGAGACGCCUGCCGCUCCCGGCAGCUGUCCGCGCCCACGGUCCUAUGGCGGAGCUAACGGACUCCGCGCGGGGCUGUGUCGUCUUUGAGGAUGUGUUUGUAUACUUCUCUCAGGAAGAAUGGGAGCUUCUUGAUGAUGCUCAGAGACUUUUGUACCAUGAUGUGAUGCUGGAGAACUUUGCACUUUUAGCCUCACUGGAUCACGUGCAGUCAUGCAACUAGAGCGAGGAGAAGAGCCCUGGGUGUAUGACCAGGUGGAUAUGACUUCAGCCACAGAAAGAGAGGCCCAGAGGGGACUUA
RNAcentral lists this small RNA (464 nucleotides) under Pongo abelii (Sumatran orangutan). Its description in RNAcentral is "processed transcript". The record is from RNAcentral. Lineage: Eukaryota; Metazoa; Chordata; Mammalia; Primates; Hominidae.